AUGCAUCUUGCCUGCCGGUCUGCUCUUUUUUGGAUCCCUGGGCAGAAGGCUAUCACCUUGCAGGUUGUUGUCUGGAUCAUAUGGACAACAUGCACAGUCAUGAUGCUGUUAUCCGUUUUCCAUCAAUUGCGGAGAGAUGUGUGGAGCUGGAUUUCAUUCGUCGUCCACCCGGUGGCCGUGGGCGGUUGUUGCCAGGGUCGUGUGGACAGUAUGUGCAGUCACGCUGCCGCUACCCGUUCUACAUCAACUGACGGCUUCAAAUUAUUCAAGGAGAGCACAGCUUACAAGGAUUUGCGGGCAUCGAAGUUUGAUCCGGACAUGGAGCUGCAUUUCGCCGUCGACCCUGUCGCGUGGGCGUCAGCUGAUGUAGAUCCCUGA
Molecule: ribosomal RNA, 378 nt
Filed under: Triticum aestivum (bread wheat)
Lineage: Eukaryota; Viridiplantae; Streptophyta; Magnoliopsida; Poales; Poaceae
Description: partial small subunit ribosomal RNA
Source: RNAcentral